GAUGAACGCUAGCUACAGGCUUAACACAUGCAAGUCGAGGGACCGGCGCACGGGUGAGUAACAAGUAUCCAACCUGCCCUUUACUCGGGGAUAGCCUUUCGAAAGAAAGAUCAAUACCAGAUUUAAAGGAUGGUGAUGCGUUCCAUUAGGUUGUUGGUGAGGUAACGGCUAACCAAGCCUUCGAUGGAUAGGGGUUUUGAGAGGAAGGCCCCCCAAAAUUGAGCUACGACCCGGUCCAAACUCGGACGGGAAGCGGCAGGAAGGGAUAUUGGUCAAUCAGCGCUAGCCUGGACCAGCCAAGUAGCGUGAAGAAUGAAGGCUUAUGGGGCGUAAACUUGUUUUAUAUAAGAAGAGGUAUUAUAUGAAUAAGGAUCGGCUAACUCCGUGCCAGCAGCCGCGGUAAUAC
Molecule: ribosomal RNA, 406 nt
Filed under: uncultured bacterium
Lineage: Bacteria
Description: partial 16S ribosomal RNA
Rfam family: Bacterial small subunit ribosomal RNA
Source: RNAcentral